Molecule: long non-coding RNA, 1068 nt
Filed under: Macaca mulatta (Rhesus monkey)
Lineage: Eukaryota; Metazoa; Chordata; Mammalia; Primates; Cercopithecidae
Description: lncRNA (ENSMMUG00000054712.1)
Source: RNAcentral
UUUCUUUUAAAAUGGUCUCUUUUAAACUGUGAUGUAAAUAAUCACAUAGGAGAUAUCAGAAGUGAGGACAUGUUCCGUCCAAUGUCCUUGUUUUCUCACUUGUCUUGAUUAAGAGAAUGGGGCUCAUUUAUUAGUCCCUUUCUUUCUUCCUUUAUGGAAAGUGUAGUAUUUGUAGAAAAUAAUGAUGUAUCACUGAAGCAACUGAAACUGAAGCAAAAUGUAUAGCCUGUUAUGACAGUGAUAGUCCAGAGGGGUAAUGCAGUCUUGAUACAAUAAAUAUGAGAUCGUUGUUUUGUGUCACAGCAAAUGUAAAGUCUCCUUUCUAUAGCUGGGCUGAUAGCCUUGGUUAUCUCUUGCGCCAUUGUGCCAUUCAAUUUACUAUGUAGUGAUUGUCUAAUACAAUGAAAACCAGAAAAUCUUCCACUGAGCAAUGCCAUGCUGUCACCUAGUUCUUUCCAGGAAGAAAACAGGAUUGGAACAGAUGAUUACAAUGAAGAAGCACCGUUUUAUAUUGGAUGAUGGCGAAUAUGGCAUUUUUUUCAGCUACAUUGUGUGACUAACAGCACAAAACCUUAGGCUUUGCCCCAGCAGAAUGAGUGACAUAUAUGACUCACUGUCCUGCGUGAUCUGCUGUUUUUUUCUUGGACGUCUUCCUGGUAUGGCAUGCUCCAAGGAAGAUCAACAAUAUAGUAUUAGCAUAUUUCCGAAAGCCUAUGGACAAGGUAGAUUUCUGGUGCAGCCCCACCCGUACUGGUCAGAGGCCAUGAGCAUCAAGACUGAAUGUAAAACACACCAGUGCAUAAUGAAAAGCUCAGAAAGGAAAGCUCUUAUGAGCAUGAUCACAAGGACUCUGUGAAGGAAGAUUGUGGUACAUAUAGAAAGUCAUUAUUUUUCCACAUGUGUUGUAACCUGUGUUUAUGCUACACCAAAAGAGCAUGGAGAGAGAGCAAGACAGCAAUUCAAAAACGUGGCCAGGGAUGACUUGAAAAAAUGCAGAACUCCACAACACAAUGGGUAGCACUUUUAAUUAAAUUUGUAGUCGACUGAUAAUAAAAUUGAUAAUUUGAC